GGUCCGUUGGUGUAAUGGUAUCAACACUACUUAGCUGAUGCUUCGUCGUUCUGCGCAGCGGCCUACUGUCCAGCAUAGAAGUCACCGGUUCGAAUCCGGUACGGGCCA
Molecule: transfer RNA, 108 nt
Filed under: Neurospora terricola FGSC 1889
Lineage: Eukaryota; Fungi; Ascomycota; Sordariomycetes; Sordariales; Sordariaceae
Description: tRNA-Und (NNN) (tRNA-Und-NNN-7-1)
Rfam family: tRNA
About the family: Transfer RNA (tRNA) molecules are approximately 80 nucleotides in length.
Source: RNAcentral